GUCUCCCCUACAUAUAUACUAUAAAAUUGGAACGAUAGAGAAGAUUAGUGUAACCUUUACACAAGGAUGACACGCAAAAUCGUGAAGCGUUUCACAUUUUU
This is a small nuclear RNA of Temnothorax curvispinosus, 101 nucleotides long. Lineage: Eukaryota; Metazoa; Arthropoda; Insecta; Hymenoptera; Formicidae. The record is from RefSeq and is a predicted model, not a curated record.